RNAcentral lists this ribosomal RNA (490 nucleotides) under uncultured bacterium. Its description in RNAcentral is "partial 16S ribosomal RNA". It matches the Rfam family "Bacterial small subunit ribosomal RNA", at positions 30 to 507 of the family's 1533-position model. The record is from RNAcentral.
AUUGAACGCUGGCGGCAGGCCUAACACAUGCAAGUCGAACGGUAACAUGAAUCAUCUUGCUGCUUCGCUUACGAGUGUCGUACGUGUGAGUUAUGUCUUGGAAUCUUCCUGAUGUAGUGUGAUAACUACUGGAAACGGUAGCUAAUACCUCAUAAUGUCUCAAUUCCAAUGUGGGUUACCUUCGUUCCUCUUUCCUUCGUUUGUUCCCAGAUGGGAUUAGCUUGUUGUUUGGGUAACGGCUCACCAAGGCGACGAUCCCUAGCUGGUCUGAGAGGAUGACCAGCGACAAUGGAAGUGAGAAACGGACCAGAGUCCUACGGGAGGCAGCAGAGGGGAAUAUUGCACAAUGGGGGCAAGCAUGAUGAAGCAAAGCGGCGUGUAUGAAGAAGGCGUUCGGGUUGUAAAGUACUUUCAGCGGGGAGGAAGGGAGUAAAGUUAAUAACUUUGCUCAUUGACGUUACCGGAAGAAGAAGCACCGGCUAACUCCGUG